CAAUAGCGUAUAUUAAAGUUGUUGCAGUUAAAAAGCUCGUAGUUGGAUUUGUGGCGUACGACGGGCUCCGGGCACUUGUUGUCUGAGUAGCUUGUCGUUGCCAUCCUUGGGUGGAACCUGUGUGGCAUUAGGUUGUCGUGCAGGGGAUGCCCAUCUUUUACUGUGAAAAAAUUAGAGUGUUCAAAGCAGGCUUAUGCCGUUGAAUAUAUUAGCAUGGAAUAAUAAGAUAGGACUUUGUCGCUAUUUUGUUGGUUUGCGCGAUAAGGUAAUGAUUAAUAGGGACAGUUGGGGGUAUUCGUAUUCCAUUGUCAGAGGUGAAAUUCUUGGAUUUUUGGAAGACGAACUACUGCGAAAGCAUUUACCAAGGAUGUUUNCAUUA
Molecule: ribosomal RNA, 379 nt
Filed under: uncultured eukaryote
Lineage: Eukaryota
Description: partial 18S ribosomal RNA
Rfam family: Eukaryotic small subunit ribosomal RNA
Source: RNAcentral